This 652-nucleotide small RNA is filed under the name Pan troglodytes (chimpanzee). RNAcentral's name for it is "retained intron". Lineage: Eukaryota; Metazoa; Chordata; Mammalia; Primates; Hominidae. The record is from RNAcentral.
CUUGCUCCUCCAAAGUCACACUUUUUCCUGCCUGACUUGUUCCUCUCCAGCUAUUCUACCUCCAGCUGUGGGGGCGUCGAAGAAAAAGAUGAGAUCAAGUUGAGGGGAAAAAUUGUCUGAUUUCUCCAGCCCUUUGUUUCCCAGGCCCCUGGCAAGCGGGGCUGGUGCUAGGCUGAGGGCUGGGGACCGGGGGAUCUGCCGGACCCCACCAGCUGGUGGGGAAAUGGACAGAGGAGAGGGGUGCAGAUCCCCGCGGGAGGUGGGCUGUAGGGUGUCCAGGGACUGGUAUGUCAUCCGCCCACCUCUUUCUGUCUUUUGUCAGAACCAAGCGCCUCCAGGUCUCUACACGAAGACCCAGGACCCAGCCAAAGCCCCCAACACCCCUGACAUUCUCGAGAUCGAGUUCAAAAAAGGGGUCCCUGUGAAGGUGACCAACGUCAAGGAUGGCACCACCCACCAGACCUCCUUGGAGCUCUUCAUGUACCUGAACGAAGUCGCGGGCAAGCAUGGCGUGGGCCGUAUUGACAUCGUGGAGAACCGCUUCAUUGGAAUGAAGUCCCGAGGUAUCUACGAGACCCCAGCAGGCACCAUCCUUUACCAUGCUCAUUUAGACAUCGAGGCCUUCACCAUGGACCGGGAAGUGCGCAAAAUC